AGAUUGAACGCUAGCGGGAUGCUUUACACAUGCAAGUCGAACGGCAGCGCGGACUUCGGUCUGGCGGCGAGUGGCGAACGGGUGAGUAAUAUAUCGGAACGUGCCCAGUAGCGGGGGAUAACUACGCGAAAGCGUGGCUAAUACCGCAUACGCCCUACGGGGGAAAGGGGGGGAUUCUUCGGAACCUCUCACUAUUGGAGCGGCCGAUAUCAGAUUAGCUAGUUGGUGAGGUAAAGGCUCACCAAGGCGACGAUCUGUAGCUGGUUUGAGAGGACGACCAGCCACACUGGGACUGAGACACGGCCCAGACUCCUACGGGAGGCAGCAGUGGGGAAUUUUGGACAAUGGGGGAAACCCUGAUCCAGCCAUCCCGCGUGUGCGAUGAAGGCCUCGGUGUAAG
Molecule: ribosomal RNA, 400 nt
Filed under: uncultured soil bacterium
Lineage: Bacteria
Description: bacterial SSU rRNA
Rfam family: Bacterial small subunit ribosomal RNA
Source: RNAcentral